UACAGAGGUCCCAAGCGUUGUUCGGAUUCACUGGGCGUAAAGGGUGCGUAGGUGGCGAAGUAAGUCGGAUGUGAAAUCUCCGAGCUCAACUCGGAAAUGGCAUUGGAAACUACUUUGCUCGAGGGUCGGAGGGGGGACUGGAAUUCUCGGUGUAGCAGUGAAAUGCGUAGAGAUCGUAAGGAAGACCAGUGGCGGAGGCGGGUCUCUGGACAGUUCCUGACACUGAGGCACGAAGGCCAGGGGAGCAAACGGG
Molecule: ribosomal RNA, 253 nt
Filed under: uncultured bacterium
Lineage: Bacteria
Description: partial 16S ribosomal RNA
Rfam family: Bacterial small subunit ribosomal RNA
Source: RNAcentral